This 350-nucleotide ribosomal RNA is filed under the name uncultured bacterium. RNAcentral describes it as "bacterial SSU rRNA". It matches the Rfam family "Bacterial small subunit ribosomal RNA", at positions 143 to 507 of the family's 1533-position model. The record is from RNAcentral.
AUAACGCAGCGAAAGCUGACGCUAAUACCGCAUACGCCCUGAGGGGGAAAGCGGGGGACCGUAAGGCCUCGCGCGAUUAGAGCGGCCGAUAUCUGAUUAGCUUGUUGGUGGGGUAAAAGCCCACCAAGGCGACGAUCAGUAGCUGGUCUGAGAGGACGAUCAGCCACACUGGGACUGAGACACGGCCCAGACUCCUACGGGAGGCAGCAGUGGGGAAUUUUGGACAAUGGGGGCAACCCUGAUCCAGCAAUGCCGCGUGAGGGAUGAAGGCCUUCGGGUUGUAAACCUCUUUUAGUUGGGAAGAAGCGAAAGUGACGGUACCAACAGAAAAAGCACCGGCUAACUACGUG